GUCAGGAUGGCCGAGUGGUUUAAGGCGCCAGACUCAAGUUCUGGUCCUCUAACGGGGCGUGGGUUCAAAUCCCACUUCUGACA
RNAcentral lists this transfer RNA (83 nucleotides) under Zingiber officinale. It matches the Rfam family "tRNA". Rfam says of the family: Transfer RNA (tRNA) molecules are approximately 80 nucleotides in length. Their secondary structure includes four short double-helical elements and three loops (D, anti-codon, and T loops). Further hydrogen bonds mediate the characteristic L-shaped molecular structure. tRNAs have two regions of fundamental functional importance: the anti-codon, which is responsible for specific mRNA codon recognition, and the 3' end, to which the tRNAs corresponding amino acid is attached (by aminoacyl-tRNA synthetases). tRNAs cope with the degeneracy of the genetic code in two manners: having more than one tRNA (with a specific anti-codon) for a particular amino acid; and 'wobble' base-pairing, i.e. permitting non-standard base-pairing at the 3rd anti-codon position. The record is from Rfam by way of RNAcentral. Lineage: Eukaryota; Viridiplantae; Streptophyta; Magnoliopsida; Zingiberales; Zingiberaceae.